Molecule: ribosomal RNA, 200 nt
Filed under: uncultured bacterium
Lineage: Bacteria
Description: partial 16S ribosomal RNA
Rfam family: Bacterial small subunit ribosomal RNA
Source: RNAcentral
AGAGUUUGAUCAUGGCUCAGGAUAAACGCUGGCGGCGUGCCUAACACAUGCAAGUCGAACGACCUUGCUUCGGCAAGGGAGUGGCGGACGGGUGAGGAACACGUGGGUACCUACCUUUUGGUGAGGGAUACCGGCGAGAAAUUGCCGACAAUACCGCAUAGGUUUGGGAGACCAAACAAAGUUGCAAGACGCCAAGAGAU